CGUAGGUGGCAAGCGUUGUCCGGAAUUAUUGGGCGUAAAGCGCGCGCAGGCGGUCUUUUAAGUCUGAUGUGAAAGCCCCCGGCUCAACCGGGGAGGGUCAUUGGAAACUGGAGGACUUGAGUGCAGAAGAGAAGAGCGGAAUUCCACGUGUAGCGGUGAAAUGCGUAGAGAUGUGGAGGAACACCAGUGGCGAAGGCGGCUCUUUGGUCUGUAACUGACGCUGAGGCGCGAAAGCGUGGGGAGCAAACAGGAUUAGAUACCCUGGUAGUCCACGCCGUAAACGAUGAGUGCUAAGUGUUAGAAGGUUUCCGCCCUUUAGUGCUGCAGCUAACGCAUUAAGCACUCCGCCUGGGGAGUACGGCCGCAAGGCUG
RNAcentral lists this ribosomal RNA (372 nucleotides) under uncultured organism. Its description in RNAcentral is "bacterial SSU rRNA". It matches the Rfam family "Bacterial small subunit ribosomal RNA", at positions 526 to 896 of the family's 1533-position model. The record is from RNAcentral.